ACAGACGGUGUGAGUGAGCUGCGCCUGCGCGGCGCAAAGCUACUGCCGUCCCCUGCAGGUGGUGGUGGACGCUGUCUUCGCUGCUUCUGUGAGGGUGCAGCCUUAAGGCCUCAGAGAAAUUCUGACUCCGGUCUCCCGACUGCAGCCACGAACGCCUCAGGUUAAGGACAGAGGACCAGGCCAGUGGAGGGAACAAAGACAGCAGCCAAAUGAUAAACCCGGAGGAAGAUAGAACGUGCUCACCUGGCCUUGAGUAGAAGGAGGUUGGCAACUUUAGGACCUAGUUGCAUAGUGUUUCAGCAGGUCCAACUUGCAGCAAGAAAAUAGGAUCCCAAUGGAGAUGGAUUGCCACUCACCCAGGGGCAUGAAGUAACUCACCCAUCCUGGUGGGAUGUCUUACUACAAAUUCCAGGAGAUAACAUGUUUCCCAGGUGUGAUGGGCCUUGGUGUUUUCAGCAGAACAGCACAUUGAUUCAUGGUGAAAAUCAGGGCAGUGGCUCUUCCCUGUGACUUGACGAUGUUGGGUGUCUUUGCAAGGGUCCGUCUUUUUGCAUGUGGGGUGACUGGCCCUACUGAUUGAUCAUUCAGAUGUAUUAAAACUUGGGACAGUACUUUAGUCUCCCUGGCCAAGGUGGUUUUUCCUGUUAGUACUUUAGUCUGCUGCUUCCAAUAUUCCAUUUUUCCUUUUUACCAACCCUACUGCUCACAGAUUAUAGGUGAAAUAGAGCCUCUAUUCAAUGUCAUGU
Molecule: long non-coding RNA, 746 nt
Organism: Bubalus bubalis (water buffalo)
Lineage: Eukaryota; Metazoa; Chordata; Mammalia; Artiodactyla; Bovidae
Exons: 3
Source: RefSeq, a predicted model, not a curated record